UUCUUUACAAUGUUUAUAGCUGUAUUUUUGCUAUUCCUUUGUGGACCAUUUCUUUGUUCUAAGUUCACAAUAUGUUUUCGACUUUAAAUAACAUACAUAGGCUUAAUGGUGAAUUUAUCUACUUCGGAUGUUUUCUGAAAUCAACUUUACUAUGCUGAAUUUAUAGGCUCUAAUUUGCUGGUUUUCUCUUAGGUUGCUAAUAAGUUGCUUCAUCAUGCAGAGCUACUGUUUAUGAACUUAAGCUCCUGAUCACAUCAAUUUGCUGUAGAAAACUACCUUCCAAAAGCCUUACUUGAAAUCAAGAGUGUGGAUGUGUUUUAAUUAUCAUUGUACAUGAAUUCCUGCAGGAAGCACUGUGUUCUACAUAAUGUUACAAUUCUCUCUGUUCUCUUCAAGAAUUGGAAACCAAGUGGUAUUACUCAUUUCUGCAAUUGAAGUCCUUGAAUCACAUCUCAAUUGUCUGCAGGUUACCCAAAAAAGCCCUCGAUUAUCUACCAAAAUGUUAUUGACUGCUUUCCCAUGGGAGGCCUGACUUCCUAGAAUUCAAUGGUGCAUAGAUGAUAGUUAGCAUUCCCAUUCUUUCAAGCUAUUAAUAAUUAUGGUUUAUUCUUUCAUCUUGAUGUAAUAUCUAAGUUCUUGGCUUUGUCAACCACAUGUAUGUAGGUUGUUUAACUAUGGCAUCGGCAUUCAUUUCCUUCACGCUAGAGACCCUGAGAAGCUGCCCCAGAUCAACUACAUUAACCCCAAAGAUAACCACAUGCAUUUCUUUCCAGCAUUGUUCUUUUACAUGGGCCUCCAGGCACUUGAAAAACUUCUUUAUGUAAAGCAUUGCCUCAUAAGCAACCAUCUGAUUCAACCCCAGGUGCCCAAGUCCUAAUUGCUUGCACUCAAUGCAUAUUCUCUAUUCAGCAAAUCUUUCUAUUUUGAAACACAUAUUUGACAAAGAACUCUAAGAAUUGCAGCUUUUGGCUUUGCGAUUUCAAGCAUAUCUGCCAUUCCGAUAAUCACCGUCGGCCUCAAUUCCAAAAUAACAUCAACUUUUGUAAUAUGUAAAUAACUAAAUGAUUAUUGU
Rosa chinensis is the source of this 1072-nucleotide long non-coding RNA. RefSeq lists it as uncharacterized. The record is from RefSeq and is a predicted model, not a curated record. The transcript is spliced from 6 exons. NCBI's taxonomy places the organism in Eukaryota, Viridiplantae, Streptophyta, Magnoliopsida, Rosales, Rosaceae.